GAUGAAGAACGUAGCGAAAUGCGAUAAGUAAUGUGAAUUGCAGAAUUCAGUGAAUCAUCGAAUCUUUGAACGCACAUUGCGCCCGCCAGCACUCUGGCGGGCAUGCCUGUCCGAGCGUCAUUUCAACCCUCAGGGCCCCUUCGGGGGACCUGGCGUUGGGGAUCGGCCCGCCCCCGUGCGGCGCCGUCCCCGAAAUAUAGUGGCGGUCUCGCUGCAGCCUCCCCUGCGUAGUAGCACACCUCGCACUGGAGAGCGGCGCGGCCACGCCGUGAAACCCCCAACUUCUGAAUGUUGACCUCGGAUCAGGUAGGAAUACCCGCUGAACUUAAGCAUAUCAAAGCGGAGGA
RNAcentral lists this unclassified non-coding RNA (347 nucleotides) under soil metagenome. Its description in RNAcentral is "partial contains 5.8S ribosomal RNA, internal transcribed spacer 2, and large subunit ribosomal RNA". The stretch from base 1 to 120 matches the Rfam family "5.8S ribosomal RNA", at positions 35 to 154 of the family's 154-position model. The record is from RNAcentral.